This 100-nucleotide transfer RNA is filed under the name Kluyveromyces lactis. It matches the Rfam family "tRNA". From Rfam's summary of the family: Transfer RNA (tRNA) molecules are approximately 80 nucleotides in length. Their secondary structure includes four short double-helical elements and three loops (D, anti-codon, and T loops). The record is from Rfam by way of RNAcentral. Lineage: Eukaryota; Fungi; Ascomycota; Saccharomycetes; Saccharomycetales; Saccharomycetaceae.
GACACUGUAGUCUAGUGGUUUAGGAUACUCCCCUUCCAUAACAAUGAUCUUCAGGAUCAUAGGCGAGGGAGUGACACGGGUUCGAAUCCCGUCAGUGUCA